AAAACAUUAGUAAAAUUAUUACCAGGCCUUGUCAUGGCUUAAUUAUUAGUUAAAUUCUUAUAUGUUUUU
This 69-nucleotide transfer RNA is filed under the name Aneides flavipunctatus (black salamander). Its description in RNAcentral is "tRNA-Asp". The record is from RNAcentral. Lineage: Eukaryota; Metazoa; Chordata; Amphibia; Caudata; Plethodontidae.